UUGCUCUUUCGUAACAAGAGCUUUUGAGUACUAACAUGAAAGAUUGAUAACAUGCUUCAAAUUGGAUUCAUUGUUACCUAACAAUGUACUCUGCGUUUAUACCA
Molecule: long non-coding RNA, 104 nt
Organism: Xenia sp. Carnegie-2017
Lineage: Eukaryota; Metazoa; Cnidaria; Anthozoa; Malacalcyonacea; Xeniidae
Exons: 3
Source: RefSeq, a predicted model, not a curated record